GCGAAUGGGUGAGUAACGCGUUGGUGACCUACCCCAAAGAGAGGAAUAACUCCGGGAAACUGGAGCUAAUACCCCAUGUGGUUGCCAGGGUUAGAGGCCUGGUAACUGAAGGAGCAAUCCGCUUUGGGAGGGACCUGCGUCCCAUCAGCUAGUUGGUAGGGUAACGGCCUACCUAGGCUACGACGGGUAGGGGGCCUGAGAGGGUGGCCCCCCACACUGGCACUGAAACACGGGCCAGACACCUACGGGUGGCAGCAGUAGGGAAUAUUGCACAAUGGGCGAAAGCCUGAUGCAACAACGCCGCGUGCGCGAUGAAGACCUUCGGGUUGUAAAGCGCUUUUCUGAAGGACGAGGAAGGACGGUACUUCAGGAAUAAGGAUCGGCUAACUACGUGCCAGCAGCCGCGGUAAUACGUAGGAUCCGAGCGUUAUCCGAAUUUACUGGGCGUAAAGCGCGUGCAGGCGGUUUGAUAAGUUGGAUGUGAAAGCUCCCGGCUCAACUGGGAGAGGCCGUUCAAAACUAUCAGACUCGAGGACGGUAGAGGGAGGUAGAAUUCCCCGGUGUAGUGGUGAAAUGCGUAGAUAUCGGGAGGAAUACCAGUGGCGAAGGCGGCCUCCUGGACCGUUCCUGACGCUCAGACGCGAAAGCUAGGGGAGCGAACGGGAUUAGAAACCCCGGUAGUCCUAGCUGUAAACGAUGCAAACUUGGUGUUGGUGGGGUAAAAUCCGCCGGUGCCGAAGCUAACGCGAUAAGUUUGCCGCCUGGGGACUACGGCCGCAAGGGUU
Molecule: ribosomal RNA, 785 nt
Filed under: uncultured bacterium
Lineage: Bacteria
Description: bacterial SSU rRNA
Rfam family: Bacterial small subunit ribosomal RNA
Source: RNAcentral